CAGCAGCCGCGGUAAUACGGAGGGAGCUAGCGUUGUUCGGAAUUACUGGGCGUAAAGAGCUCGUAGGCGGUUUGUCGCGUCUGCUGUGAAAACUGGAGGCUUAACCUCCAGCCUGCAGUGGGUACGGGCAGACUAGAGUGCGGUAGGGGAGAUUGGAAUUCCUGGUGUAGCGGUGGAAUGCGCAGAUAUCAGGAGGAACACCGAUGGCGAAGGCAGAUCUCUGGGCCGUAACUGACGCUGAGGAGCGAAAGCGUGGGGAGCGAACAGGAUUAGAUACCCGAGUAGUCCCUGUCUCUUAUAC
This 301-nucleotide ribosomal RNA is filed under the name uncultured bacterium. RNAcentral's name for it is "partial 16S ribosomal RNA". It matches the Rfam family "Bacterial small subunit ribosomal RNA", at positions 509 to 807 of the family's 1533-position model. The record is from RNAcentral.